RNAcentral lists this transfer RNA (72 nucleotides) under Eubacterium sp. RNAcentral describes it as "tRNA-Arg". It matches the Rfam family "tRNA". Rfam says of the family: Transfer RNA (tRNA) molecules are approximately 80 nucleotides in length. Their secondary structure includes four short double-helical elements and three loops (D, anti-codon, and T loops). Lineage: Bacteria; Bacillati; Bacillota; Clostridia; Eubacteriales; Eubacteriaceae. RNAcentral also lists the same sequence under 1 other name. The record is from RNAcentral.
GUACCAGUAGCUCAGUGGAUAGAGCAAUGGCCUCCGGAGCCGUGUGCGCAGGUUCGAUUCCUGUCUGGUACA